RNAcentral lists this ribosomal RNA (709 nucleotides) under uncultured bacterium. RNAcentral describes it as "bacterial SSU rRNA". It matches the Rfam family "Bacterial small subunit ribosomal RNA", at positions 8 to 762 of the family's 1533-position model. The record is from RNAcentral.
AGAGUUUGAUCCUGGCUCAGAACGUACGCUGGCGGCACGCCUAACACAUGCAAGUCGAACGAAGUAGCAAUACUUAGUGGCAGACGGGUGAGUAACAUGUGGGUAUCUACCCUUUGGCCUGGAAUAACACGAGGAAACUUGUGCUAAUACCGGAUAAGUCUUUACGGAGAAAGCUUUAUGCACCAUUGGAUGAGCCCGCACUUGAUUAGUUUGUUGGUAGGGUAAUGGCCUACCAAGACUAUGAUCAAUAGCUGAUUUGAGAGGAUGAUCAGCCACAUUGGGACUGAGACACGGCCCAAACUCCUACGGGAGGCAGCAGUGGGGAAUCUUGCACAAUGGAGGAAACUCUGAUGCAGCGAUGCCGCGUGAGUGAAGAAGGCCUUUGGGUUGUAAAGCUCUUUCGUCGGGGAAGAAAAUGACUGUACCCGAAUAAGAAGGUCCGGCUAACUUCGUGCCAGCAGCCGCGGUAAUACGAAGGGACCUAGCGUAGUUCGGAAUUACUGGGCUUAAAGAGUUCGUAGGUGGUUGAAAAAGUUGGUGGUGAAAUCCCAGAGCUUAACUCUGGAACUGCCAUCAAAACUUUUCAGCUAGAGUAUGAUAGAGGAAAGCAGAAUUUCUAGUGUAGAGGUGAAAUUCGUAGAUAUUAGAAAGAAUACCAACUGCGAAGGCAGCUUUCUGGAUCAUUACUGACACUGAGGAACGAAAGCAU